UGAGGGAAAGGUGAAAAGAACCCCGGGAGGGGAGUGAAAGAGAACCUGAAACCCUAUGUUUACAAGCAGUGGGAGCGCAAGCGACCAUGUACUUUUUGUAGAACGGGCCGGCGAGUUACUGUGUGUAGCGAGGUUAAGGUGUAGAGCACCGGAGCCGUAGCGAGAGCGAGUCUCAAAUGGGCGAAUAGUUGCAUACAGUAGACCCGAAACCGGGUGACCUAUCCAUGGACAGGAUGAAGCGGUGGUAAAGCACCGUGGAGGUCCGAACCACACGUAUGUUGAAAAAUGCGGGGAUGAGCUGUGGAUAGCGGAGAAAUUCCAAUCGAACUCGGAGAUAGCUGGUUCUCCCCGAAAUAGCUUUAGGGCUAGCGUUAUUUUAGAUUACCGGAGGUAAAGCACUGAAUGGUCUAGGGGCCGCGAGGUUACCAAAGCCUAUCAAACUCUGAAUGCCGGAUAAUUGAUGAAUAGCAGUCAGACUGUGUGAGAUAAGUCUCAUAGUCAAAAGGGAAACAGCCCAGAUCUACAGCUAAGGUCCCAAAUGAACACUAAGUGGAAAAUGAUGUGAAACUGCGAAGACAACCAGGAUGUUGGCUUAGAAGCAGCCACUCAUUCAAAGAGUGCGUAAUAGCUCACUGGUCGAGUGAAUGUGCGCCGAAAAUAUACCGGGGCUAAACGUGAUACCGAAGUCUGGGGAUCAAGAAAUUGAUCGGUAGGGGAGCAACGCAUACGGACAGAAGCAGAAGCGGGAGCGACUGUGGACUGUAUGGGAGAGAGAAUGCCGGCAUGAGUAGCGAGAGCAAAGUGAGAAGGCAUGCCGUCGAAAGCCUAAGGUUUCCUGAGGAAGGCUCGUCCUCUCAGGGUAAGUCGGGACCUAAGCCGAGGACAAGAGUCGUAGGCGAUGGACAACAGGUUGAUAUUCCUGUACCGUACUUAAGCGUUUGACUGAAGCAGUGACACAGAAGGAUAGACAGACCGGGGGAAUGGUAGACUCCGGCCAAGCAGUGAGGCUGACAUGUAGUGAAGUACGCAUGUUAAGGCUGGGCUGUGAUGGGGACUGAAGAUUAGUAAGGAAGCUGUUGAAUUCACACUGGCGAGAAAAGCUGCUAAGGAGCGAGAGUAUGCCCGUACCGCAAACCGACACAGGUAGGCGAGGAGAGAAUCCUAAGACGAGCGGGAGAACCCUUGUUAAGGAACUCGGCAAAAUGACUCCGUAACUUAGGGAGAAGGAGUGCCUCGAGAGAGGCCGCAGAGAAUAGGCCCAAGCGACUGUUUACCAAAAACACAGGUCUGUGCGAAGUAGAGAUACGACGUAUACGGGCUGACGCCUGCCCAGUGCCGGAAGGUUAAGGGGAAGUGUUAGGGCAACCGAAGCACGGAACUUAAGCCCCGGUGAACGGCGGCCGUAACUAUAACGGUCCUAAGGUAGCGAAAUUCCUUGUCGGGUAAGUUCCG
Molecule: ribosomal RNA, 1452 nt
Filed under: human gut metagenome
Description: bacterial LSU rRNA
Rfam family: Bacterial large subunit ribosomal RNA
Source: RNAcentral